This 79-nucleotide non-coding RNA is filed under the name Palpitomonas bilix. The record is from RNAcentral.
UACAUAACUACAAUACACUAUUGUACGGUGUAUUGCAAACCACGAGGCAAAGGUGCAUUAAAAAUGUAUCGGAUAAAAA